This 392-nucleotide ribosomal RNA is filed under the name uncultured Pseudomonadota bacterium. Its description in RNAcentral is "bacterial SSU rRNA". It matches the Rfam family "Bacterial small subunit ribosomal RNA", at positions 670 to 1060 of the family's 1533-position model. The record is from RNAcentral. Lineage: Bacteria; Pseudomonadati; Pseudomonadota.
CGCGUGUAGCAGUGAAAUGCGUAGAUAUGCGGAGGAACACCGAUGGCGAAGGCAGCCCCCUGGGAUGACACUGACGCUCAUGCACGAAAGCGUGGAGAGCAAACAGGAUUAGAUACCCUGGUAGUCCACGCCCUAAACGAUGUCAACUAGCUGUUGGGGCCUUCGGGCCUUGGUAGCGCAGCUAACGCGUGAAGUUGACCGCCUGGGGAGUACGGUCGCAAGAUUAAAACUCAAAGGAAUUGACGGGGACCCGCACAAGCGGUGGAUGAUGUGGAUUAAUUCGAUGCAACGCGAAAAACCUUACCUACCCUUGACAUGUCUGGAAUCCCGAAGAGAUUUGGGAGUGCUCGCAAGAGAACUGGAACACAGGUGCUGCAUGGCUGUCGUCAGCU